CUUUUUUCCCCUACCCUUGCCUCCAUCUCUUUUCCUACUUCUACCUUCUGGUUUCUGUGAGCUUCACUUUGAUAUUUACAUUGUUGAGGUUGAAAAUUUACAUUCUGUUCAGAAACCUGAACCCCCAUCCUUUGUCUGUAGGUUGAUGACACAAAUUUAAAAUUACUAAAAAUAUUAAAUUGUUAUGACAUUAUGUUUUCUUGUAUAAUUAUGUCAUCACCCUAGACCUCUCAAAGGACAAUAUUCCUAGAAAAUUCUAUGAUGGGCCAGGCGCGGUGGCUCACGCCUAUAAUCCCAGCACUUUGGGAGGCUGAGGUUGGCAGAUCACUUGAGUUCGGGAGUUCAAGACCAGCCUGACAAACAGGGUGAAAUCCUGUCUCUACUAAAAAAUACAAAAAUUAGCCAGGUGUUGUGGCGGGCACCUGUAAUCCCAGCUGCUUGGGACGCUGAGGCAUGAGAAUCACUUGACCC
RNAcentral lists this long non-coding RNA (471 nucleotides) under Homo sapiens (human). Its description in RNAcentral is "non-protein coding lnc-EPM2AIP1-4:1". The record is from RNAcentral. Lineage: Eukaryota; Metazoa; Chordata; Mammalia; Primates; Hominidae.